Long non-coding RNA from Leopardus geoffroyi (Geoffroy's cat), 4439 nucleotides. RefSeq lists it as uncharacterized. The transcript has 2 exons. NCBI's taxonomy places the organism in Eukaryota, Metazoa, Chordata, Mammalia, Carnivora, Felidae. The record is from RefSeq and is a predicted model, not a curated record.
GUUUAGGUGUGUGUGCACUUGUAGGUGUGUGCGCGUGUGGGUACGUGUGCUUGCACAUACGGAGGUGUGUGUGGUAGCGUGUAGCGUAUGUUGGCACAUACACGUGUGUGGGCACACGGGUGUGUUACAUACGCGUGCAGGCCUGCGGGAUGCGCGCGGGAAUGUGAGCCUCUGGGAUGGCAUCAGGGAGGUGCCAGCCGGCAGGCGCUGCGUAAGCGGUGACUGUGUUUAUUGCGUAUCUUGCAGUGUGAGUUUCCUGUUCGGAAACCACCUCAGCCACAGAAAAACGACCCCCGAGCGGUCGGGUGGGGCCGUGGGCCAGUGGCCCGGCUCUGGGAGCCGUGUGGGGGGCAGCAAGGGAGAGGAACGGGGUGGGCGGGUGCCGCUUCUGACCGCGGGCCCCCGCAGGGUGUGCCGCCUACUGCUCUGGCAGCAGGGGGCCGGGUCUCCUGCCCCGCCUCUGCCUUGCUGGGAAAAGCUUGGGGCGGCUCCGGGGACCCCCAGCUCUCCAGCCGGAGGGGCGGGACCCAGGGGACCGGAUGUGCCCAGCAGGAAGCCGGAAGGGUCCCGACUGCUGCGACCCCAAGGGGCUUGGGUGCUGCUCUGGAGCGUCUGCGAUUUGUGGGGUGCAGGGGUCAGUGGCGCCCGGGGGUGGCCUGCCCGCCCUGUCCACGGGCCGCCGCAGAAGUGUCCUCGGGAGCUGCCGGCACCCUUCCCUCGGGCCGUUCUGAGGGCCCAGUGAGGUCACACCUGUGUGAGACUCCGCAGACGAGACUGGCACAUUCGCACCAAAACCCUGUCCAGGGGGGCUUUGGGGUUUGCCGUGCGGGACUGCAGAGGGUCUCCUCUCGGCCCUCGGGCCCAGCAGGCACACCCCUGGUUUCUACUCAGUAGUCAGCCUCAGGGCUCUGCUCACAUUUGCCCCCCAUUCCUUAGGCUUCCCAGAACCUUCUAGUUUUGGGGCCCCAUCGCUUAGGUCACCAUGGGUCUCCAGGGUGUGGCCCCACAGUCCAGGUACCAUCCAUAUUUUAUCUCACUGUCCCUGUGGACCCGGAACAUCGGCGUGGUGCCACCACCGACCACGCAGCAGACUCCCGUAGUCGAGGCCACGAGUCCAAGGUCACGGGUCGGGAGGCUGGCUUCCUCCUGAGGCCGCGAGGGAGAGUGUCCCAUGCUGUCUUAGCUGCUGGCGUUUGCUGACGGCUCGGCGGUUGCUCGGCCUGUAGAGGCUUCCGUCCAUCCCUGCCCGAAUCCUCAACGAGACGUGCUCCCCUGUGCCUGCGUGCACACCGCCGUGUUGUAGAGGGAUGCCAGUCCGUGGAGCAGGCCCAGCCUAGUGACCUUGUUUCAACAUGCUCACAUCUGCAAAGACCCUGAUGCCAAAUAGGGUCACAUCCCCAGGUGCUGGAGGUUAGAAUAUGCCAGGGUGAAUCUGGGGAGGACACGUUCAGUCCUUUACAGUAGGCGCUAGGAUCUCCUUUGUAAGCGAGGAACUGAGGUGCAAAGCGAGGGUCCCUCCAGAGGCCCUGCAGCCCCAAGGAGGGCCACUGGGGGGACCCCAGAUGCUCUCUCUGCACCUCCCCCCACCCCGACCAUGGCUUUCAGGCCCUCCUGCAUCUUGGUGGUCGGGGCCUGUGGUAAGUCUGCCCUCAGGUUCCCUGUGACUCUCGCUGAAGGUCACACUGGCUGGGCUGCCCGAGAGGACAUCUGCCUCUCAACCUCAUGGGUCUUGUCUCUGUGCAGAGUCUCCCAGGACCCCCUGAAGCUCCUCGAAGGCACAGGCCCAGCCCCCACGCCUCUGCCUCUGAGAAUGUGGGGCCGAGGGGCCGUCACAGCGCCCCUGACUGCUCUGAUCUCUCUCUGUAACUUCCCCUCUGGAGGCCGCCCCCCGACCUAGCCGUCGGCCCCUGGCCUCCCUCCUGGUCUGCGCGUGCGCCCCUGAAUGUGGUCUUAGCUCUUGAGUCCAAAAGAAAAGGGCGUUCUGCAGGGAGUACGGCGAGAGAAAAAUUCCUGGAAUCGUCUUUACAGAACACAAACGUCAAUGUGUUUUCUGGAUGUUCUCUUCAGCGUCUUCUGCCUCCUUUCCACGCUUCCCUGCACUUCCUGGUUUUGGCUGAGGUCAGAUAGCAGAAGUACUGAAAUAUUUCUCCUUAAGUGUCUCAUGGUACUUCUGGGCUGGCCCAAAACAGGAAGUUCUGUGGGACAUGUCUCCAGAAGUCUCUGUGUCCACCAAGGACUCCGUGCACACGACCUGGGGUCCCACAGGAGCACUCAGACUCUCCACCAGGGAGGGACCCGUUCCUCCUGGCUCGGGAGGACACCAUUAGCUUACUGGGGAGAAGACACGUUUUGGGGGAAACUAGGAACCUGUGUUCGUGUCCUCGGGCUUCUGAGCAGACACUUCUCCCAGCCCUGGACGCCUCUCUCUGGUAGAGGCUGUCCUGUCCCGUGUCCUCACCCGGCCGUGCCUCCGUGCAUGUCUGUGUCAUGUCCCCUCCUCACACGGGCACAGUCAUGUGGGUUCGGGGCCACCCCAGUGACCUCGCUUUAACUCGAUCCCCUCUGUAAAGGCCUCAUCUCUACAGUCGUAUUCGGCAUGGAUCUUAGGGGGACGUAAUUCAGCCCAUAAAACCAUCUUUGUUGUUUUCUAAGUCAAUGCGAGGUGGAAGGUGAGCUUGCUCUGGGGGCCACGGGAGGCGGCCGUCCGGGCCCCUCUGACAGCCUCCAGGGGCCUCGCCCUAGCCACCGUGGCACUCCCCAGGCCAGACACCGUGUCCCCGGGGCCCCCAGCUGGCUGGCUGAAACUCCUUCUCCAGAAACAACCUGACCCGGGUGUCCAGGGAUUCUCAGAGGGGGGACGUGCAGGUGGGGGUGGGUCAUGGGGCCCUGGAGGGCGAGUUAGCCUCAGGAUUGCCCCCGCCUCGUCCGUCAGUCCUGGCACACACGCUCCCUUUUGCCUCCCGGCCCAGACAAGAGCCGAAGCGCUGGCCACGGGAGCCUGAGUGCCCAGAGUGCCCCUCAGUGGGGUGGGGGCGGCGAGGGCCGAGGCCAGAAGGGCCGGAGGGGAUGUGGAAGGGCUUCUGUGGGGAUGCAGUCCCUCCAGCAGCUUGUGGGGAGGGGGGGGGGCAGCGCCCGCACUGGCUUCCCCACCUGCCCAGCUGCUCCCGCAGGGCAGGGUGGCGCUCGGGGCCUCGGCCAGAGCGGAGAGGGGCAGGUGGUGCGGGCGUCACAGCCCUCAGCUGCCUCUGGUGGAGGAAGUUGGUCUCCGGAGCCCCGUAGGGGAUUUUGAGGGGGAUUUCCAGCCAGGGGCCAGUUUUUAUUGAAAGUGCUUAAUGGGCCUGAAAGGUCUGGCCUUUAUCAAAUGAGUCACCUUGGAGGGGAGACAGCGGCCACAGCAUCUUGGGGUCCCGAGCUGUGCCCUGGUUCGGUGGCCGAGCGGGUCCAGGCCAGGCUCUGGAGGGAGGGCCAAGGCAGGCCUCCUCAGCCCGGCCCUCCAUCCGUCCCGGCGGGCGCCGUAUCCGCGGUGGUUACUUCUGUGUGUCACUUGCAUUUCUGUGCGUCUGUGAGGGUGUUUCCUGGCGAGCCUGGCAUUUGAUUCGGCGAGCUCUUGCCCGCUUCCCCCCGCACCCCCGCAAAGCCUGACACCAGGAAACCCAGGCCAACAUCAGGACCGUGUGGAGCCGGUGGGACACCCCCCUGCUGGCCAAGUCCCCAGACAUCAGAUCUCAGCUGCCGUCCUGAUGAGGGGCUUGGCCCGCGCUCCACUCCCCCGGGAGGCUCCCGGGGCCACGCUAGCUGUGAGGGCAGGCGGUGGGGGGCGCCGCCUCCCGCUGAGCUGGGCACCCGCCCCUGGGCGGUGCAGGUGCUGCCCACCGUCCCAGCGGACACAGAGGUGGUCCCGCCCGACAUGGUUGUCCCCGGCCCCCGCUCACGAUGGCGGCGUGGGGAAGGAGAGGGAGGACCGUCCAGGGGGCCGCCUCCGAGAGCUGAGCCGGCCAUGCGCCUCAUACUCGGUUACGUCCCUGCCGUGGACGCGUCAUAGCCAACUUGCCAAAACCGGAGGACGGAAAAACCAGCGUCUCCCCUGCCAGCCUGGAGCAGGCACAGCCGUGCUUGUGUUUGUGGUGUCUCCGUGCACACGCGGCCGGCUCACAGACCUGGUGAUCGUGCGCAGUUUAGCACGUUGUAAAAACCCGAGCGUUACUGCCAUUCCAUCCUCCCUUCUCUGCCUCCCUGCCUCCCUCUCUCCCAGCCUCCCUCCCUCCCUCCCUCCCUCCCUCCUUUCCUGCCUCCCAGCCUCCCUGCCUUCCCAUGGUCCUUCCUGCUGGCCCUGGGCAUUUCCUCAAGGAGCAUUUGCAUAAGACUCCCUCCCCACCUCCUUGUCCUAACUGACCUUGGGGAUUGUUUGCAACUUUUCCUGAUUAAAAUGAAGUUGGGAA